Molecule: ribosomal RNA, 492 nt
Filed under: uncultured bacterium
Lineage: Bacteria
Description: partial 16S ribosomal RNA
Rfam family: Bacterial small subunit ribosomal RNA
Source: RNAcentral
AGUGAACGCUGGCGGUAGGCCUAACACAUGCAAGUCGAACGGCCGCACAGUAAGAGCUUGCUCUUACGGGUGGCGAGUGGCGGACGGGUGAGGAAUACAUCGGAAUCUACUUUUUCGUGGGGGAUAACGUAGGGAAACUUACGCUAAUACCGCAUAAGACCUACGGGUGAAAGCAGGUGAUCUUCGGAACUUGCGCGAUUGAAUGAGCCGCUGUCGGAUUAGCUAGUUGGCGGGGUUAAGGCCCACCCAGGCGACGAUCCGUAGCUGGUCUGAGAGGAUGAGCAGCCACACUGGAACGGGGACACGGUCCAGACUCCUACGGGAGGCAGCAGUGGGGAAUAUUGGACAAUGGGCGCAAGCCUGAUCCAGCCAUACCGCGUGAGUGAAGAAGGCAUUCGGGUUGUAAAGCCCUUUUGUUGGGAAAGAAAAGCAGCAGGUUAAUACCCCGCUGUUCUGACGGUACCCAAAGAAUAAGCACCGGCUAACUUCGUG